AUUGAACGCUGGCGGCAGGCCUAACACAUGCAAGUCGAACGGCAGCGGGGGGUAGCUUGCUACCCCGCCGGCGAGUGGCGGACGGGUGAGUAAUGCCUGGGGAGCUGCCCAAUCGAGGGGGAUACCAGUUGGAAACGACUGCUAAUACCGCAUACGCCAUGAGGGGGAAAGGUGGGGAGCUUCGGACCUACCGCGAUUGGAUGCACCCAGGUGGGAUUAGCUAGUUGGUGAGGUAACGGCUCACCAAGGCGACGAUCUAUAGCUGGUCUGAGAGGAUGACCAGCCACACUGGAACUGAGACACGGUCCAGACUCCUACGGGAGGCAGUAGUGGGGAAUAUUGCACAAUGGGGGAAACCCUGAUGCAGCCAUGCCGCGUGUGUGAAGAAGGCCUUCGGGUUGUAAAGCACUUUCAGCGAGGAGGAAAGGUUGGCAGCUAAUACCUGUCAGCUGUGACGUUACUCGCAGAAGAAGCACCGGCUAACUCCGUGCCAGCCGCCGCCGUAA
Molecule: ribosomal RNA, 506 nt
Filed under: uncultured bacterium
Lineage: Bacteria
Description: partial 16S ribosomal RNA
Rfam family: Bacterial small subunit ribosomal RNA
Source: RNAcentral